This 253-nucleotide ribosomal RNA is filed under the name uncultured bacterium. RNAcentral's name for it is "partial 16S ribosomal RNA". It matches the Rfam family "Bacterial small subunit ribosomal RNA", at positions 524 to 776 of the family's 1533-position model. The record is from RNAcentral.
UACGUAGGGUGUGAGCGUUAACCGGAAUUACUGGGCGUAAAGCGUGCGCAGGCGGCUAUGCAAGACAGAUGUGAAAUCCCCGGGCUCAACCUGGAAACUGCAUUUGUGACUGCAUGGCUAGAGUGUGGCAGAGGGGGAUGGAAUUCCGCGUGUAGCAGUGAAAUGCGUAGAUAUGCGGAGGAACACCGAUGGCGAAGGCAAUCCCCUGGGCCUGCACUGACGCUCAUGCACGAAAGCGUGGGGAGCAAACAGG